GGAGAGAUGGCAGAGUGGUCGAUCGCGCAGGCUUGGAAAGCUUGUAAGGGUUAAUAGCCCUUCGAGGGUUCGAAUCCCUCUCUCUCCGCCA
RNAcentral lists this transfer RNA (91 nucleotides) under Gammaproteobacteria bacterium. RNAcentral describes it as "tRNA-Ser". It matches the Rfam family "tRNA". From Rfam's summary of the family: Transfer RNA (tRNA) molecules are approximately 80 nucleotides in length. RNAcentral also lists the same sequence under 2 other names. Lineage: Bacteria; Pseudomonadati; Pseudomonadota; Gammaproteobacteria. The record is from RNAcentral.